Molecule: long non-coding RNA, 4791 nt
Organism: Lineus longissimus
Lineage: Eukaryota; Metazoa; Nemertea; Pilidiophora; Heteronemertea; Lineidae
Exons: 2
Source: RefSeq, a predicted model, not a curated record
AUAGGGACAUAUAUAUGUAUCCAUUUAACGCAAUAUAGAAGGGAUGCAGCGAGUAUUAUCAGAUUUUAAGGUAACUUUUCAGACUUUUUACGUAGCUACCUCGUAAGAGCCAAAAUCUCGACAGGACAGGGCGAUGUCCGGAAACAAGACCAUGUGGUAUGUCAUGCGGCAUGCUCUUGCAUGCAACGAGGACAAAUCAGGAGGCUUUCCGGGUUCAUGGAUUGACAGCUUUCUCCUCGGAAUCAUCGUGGUCGCCCAGCUUUUUAUUCCCCAUGUUGGACAUUGUCGAGAUCAUCAUGUCAAGGACUCGUGUGGUCAGUAUCUGACCAGCUAAAAGACUGUGAUCAUUAAAGGAUGGAGUGAGAAAAGCCAUAUGUAAUUAGAUACCUCACGAAAUCCAGUGAACAUGAAAUUCAUUUGCUUAUAAUCUGGUGAAUCUUGGAGAAUGGAGAUUCUCUCUUGGCCGGCCUACGGCCUGCGUGUUAUACCUUAGAGUAACCAGACUCUAAGGUUAUAUGGAACUUUGUCUUUGUGUGAAAGUGAAUGUGAAUGUGAACUUUAUCGUAGAACUGUUUCAAGCCUUCAACUAUCAUUUUGGCCCUGGCCGACUAGUCUGGGCAACAAGCUAGCUGUUCGUCCAUCAAGAUGCGUUUUCCCGACUUCCGUCUUCAAGCCAAUCCACAGGUUUUCAUCGAAGACGCAAUUUCACCACCUGUUUUCUGUCCGACUUCUACUACCUGCAAGAAGCUAAUUUAGUCUUCGUCGUGCUUUAUAUCUUGAACGUCAUAUUUUGCCAUGAGUAUGCUGUUGCUGACACUUUAGACCCAAAGGAAUGCAGGGUAGAUACCAAAAACUCGGAUAUUCGCAUCUCAGAUUUGACCUGAAAAAUCUAUCAAGUCUCAGCCUGUCUCACCCAACUGUGUCACCCCGAGACCCCGAGCUCCAAAACAUCAUCUGGGACAGAUUACUAACUGAUCACAUUUCAAAAUAGUUGUCUUCGUAAACGGUUGUGAUAAGAGUUCAGACUUCUGGAAGCGUUUGUUUUGUGAGAUGACAUUUCAGGCACUUCAGACUCCGGUGACAAUGACUUGAUUGUUUUAUAUCAUGAUGUGACCUCGAAAUAUUCAUCUUGGGAAUGGGCCCAUGGGUCUCCUCGAACUUUUCUGUGCCGUCACCGCAACCACUCCAACACUGAUAAAAUUUAAUUGUUCAGAUAUCAUUUUUCUGAACUACUGCAUGGCUUGGAUGUAUCUCGAGACCACUUCCUUUCGCAUGCCUAACAUCAAGCACCCAGCGUACACAUGUAGAUCUACACUGGGCAAACCAGAACUUUUGCCAUGGUGCCAACCAUUUCAACAUCAGGACCAAAUGUACGCAGCAUAAUAAUGGACCAUCGAUCUCUAUCAAAACGUGCUCUCAUGCAGUACGUUAUGUAGGGGCAAAUUCCCAGUCUGUAUCUCAACAUCUUAUGCUAUUGUCACAGAACAAAGCUUUGACCUCCGGCCGUGGACAAGCCGUAAGAAUAACCGUGAUAUUUAUAGUCCGUGUCCAUGGACUCGACUGCGAUAACAAAGGUUUUUGUCCCUUCCAAGAGGGAACAUUGCAACCAGGAGGUGAAAUGAUUUGCCCUUUAUAUCAUGAUCGUUGAAUGGUUUUUUGAAGCUUUAAUUGAAAACUAAUAUAAGUGCCGAACUGAAAUGUACAACGCUGUAAAUAGAACAGUAUCACACAGCAGGAAACUGUUACUUGAUUUAUAAGACUAUAAUUUUUGUAAUGGACAACCUUUCAACUCUUACGUAGGCCUACCUUUCCACUGGUAAAUUCAUUCAGUAAAGAACCAUAGAGCUUUCUGAUCUGAAAUAUCUCGGUACUUUAUGAUGUAACCACAGCAUACUACAGCAACAACUGGCAGUUCUUGUGUUACUACCAGCCUAAACCUCUUACCUUAAACCCUCCCCGCAAGCAACUCGGACUGUUUCAAGUAUCUUACCGAACCGUGUGGCUUUCACAUGGCUUCUGAUCUAUCAGAAAUAACCACUGGCGUAACAGGCUUACUAGAAGCCAGUAGUGUUACUUUCAGAGAAUCGAUACGGUACAGAACAUUCACACGGUUCUCGACCGGAAUUGUUGUUAUUUCUGACACUGGAUGUGACUUUCGCGUGAGAACGAAGCUGUUGUUGGCUUUCUGUGGAACCUUUAGCAUUUUCAGGUAGAAUGGUUUACGGAGAAAGUGCUUUGGCAAACUGUGCUUAAGUAUUUGAUCCUUGGCGAACUGUGUUGGUAGCAACACUUCUUAAAUGGUGUUUCUUUCGUAUACUGAGCGUAUUUCAAAAACAUGUCAGAUGUUGCUCGUCAUUUACGUCUCCCACUCCGACUCCAACUUGGAGCGUGAAUUACAGUCGUCAGGAUUCAACUGGACUGUCGUACGUUGCUCUUGACAUUCUUGACUGGGAGGGUUAACGUAUAAGGAUAUCCUAUACCCAUUUUCUUCUCAAUAGGCCCACCAAUCACCUAGAAAAAUGUAGAGUGCAACCAUGGAAGUCUAUUAAGGUCAACAAGGCUAAAUACCUCUUUUUUUUGCCUGACAUUGGUUCACAUCAAAUUAACAUGAAAUUCUGAAAUACUACAACAGUGACAAGACUGCGCUUCUCAUGUCAGUGUAUGUCCAUUGUGCAGAAAAAUUAAUACAAAUAGUAUUGGGUAUUUAUUUUCCGAGCCAACAUACAAACAAAUGUGUACUAGAGAAUGAGUUUAUACAGCUUUAGUCUGCUGUGUGCCACUUCGGACGUGGAAUGUGGUCUCCGCUGAUUUUCUCAUGGAGUCGCGCCAAAAUGUGUGAACUGCAGGUGAAGGUCGAGCCUGUUUACCCAUUGAGGAAAUUUGUAGAACUGUGACCAAAUGUCGGAUGACUUAUCAUAAAUGUGUAUGUGUCAAUUAAUUAGAAUGCAUAGUAUAAUAACGCCAAGCCAAAAUAUUUUCAUUUUUUACGCCCCUGCGAAUAGUCAGUGGGGCGUAUAACCCGGGCUAGGGCCUCAAAGAAGAUCAAAGAACCAUGGCUUCGAACUUUGCUACCAAUGUCAGUGAGGUACCAAAAUUGCAAUUUCAUACUCUGUUCCACACAGGAUUGAUUGUUGUAGAAGUAGAACAACAACAAAACGUGGACUAUUCGCUCUGUUGCAGUUCUAAUUAUAUCUCUCAAAGUUUUCAAAAUAUAUGGACCGUUCAAAUGUUUCUCGUAAAUCUUGAUCUUUGGGACCGAUGCAACUGGUUUCACUCGCAUGACUUCUCGGGGUGACUACAGAAAAACAAUGCCUUGUGUGGGUUGACAAACAUAACCCGUGAUGAUCAAAAGGUGGAUUUGGUUCAUGGAUCAGAUUUGCAAACCCGGGAAUCACACGAACGUCGCUGUAUCUUCUGGGAAAAUCUUCAACGUGCUUUUGUAAAAAUUCGUCUUCCAAUAGGAACAACGGAGUUCUUUUCAACGAUCGAUUACGUAACCACGUGCAUAACGUAAACUCAACAAUUGAUUACGUCAACACGACAAUCGAUUACAUCUGCCCAACAAUUGAUUACGUGUACGCAACAAAACUCAAAUGAUGACAAAAUUGUUCCCAGAGCAGACGACGAGGAUAUUCCCACGACACUUCCAGGAAGCCCUCACGUGACCUUGACGUAACGCGUUGAUUGGCUAUAGAAAAUGAAGACUGGCUGGAUGACACGUCUUGAAUCGUAUCUGGUGACAUCAUCGUCGGGAUAGGCAGAGAUCGACUCAUUCUGCACGGGUUUCAUCAUCAUCUCUUAUCAACAUCACGGAUCUCUGUAGCAUGGACCUUUGGAACAACUUCAAUGUUGCAUUCGCCAAGGACUUCGUCAAUGUGGCCUACUUAUAGUACUAGUAUACGGCUUACUUUCACCACACGUUUUUACCAACUUGAAAUUUCUGUCAGUCUGACAGCUCAGAUCAAAAUGCAAUUGUGAAUAUUAUGUCGAUGCAUAGAACCUUUGCACAACCUGGAAUUUUGAAAUAAUGCUAGUAAACAUCAUUUCAAGGUUAUAGUAUGUACUAGCUGGUUUGUAAGCUCAUUAUAUGUACCAGCUAAUUACUUCAUGAUAUAACGCACAAAUUGUCUUGAUGGCAUUUGGUCUUUGUGUAAGUGAAUGGAAUGCUAAGUGAGGUCAACUUUCAGUGACACGAAUUCUCAAGUCAAAACUUCCUGCAAUCAGGGCCCCAGGUUGUUCAAAGCCUGGUUAGUUUGGCGACCGCUAAGUUUUAGGGGGUGCUACUAACAAAUUUUUGGAGGUACUCUGAGGGACUGCCACUGGUGAUUGAUAGCGGUAUUCUGAUUUCUGUUUCAUGCACGAUUAGUUUGGGUACUUUCUAGGGGUAUACUACUUUUUGGCCGUAAUAGGCCAUUAAAUUGCGAUGUGUUUGAUAUUGUAAUGCUGUUUUCAUCUUCUUUAGAACCAAUACUUGUUUCAAUUGAACAUGAUACAUCCAACCGUGAAAGUUUAUGAACCAUACAUGUUGUUGAAGUAGUUCAAGGCUUGUUCAAGUAGAAAACUGUCAUAAAUUGACAGGCUAAAACUCCGUCAGUGUUCAGCUUUAGAGCUGUACACUUUAUCUCAACACAUGGUAUUGGUUUUAUUGCAGAAGAAAGCACAAUGACCUGAUGUGAUAUUUUGUAUAAUGUGCAUUGUGUUCGAUGUUGAUAUUGAAAUAUUGUAAAAAAAUAUCAUAUAUAAUUAUUGUUGUAAAGUGGUCAGUAAUGGAUUAAAAGAAGAAUAAAUCAA